GGCACGCCUAACACAUGCAAGUCGAACGCAGUAGCAAUACUGAGUGGCAAACGGGUGAGUAUAAUGUGGGAAUCUGCCUUUUGGUUCGGAACAACACGGGGAAACCUGUGCUAAUACCGGAUAAGUCCUUACGGAGAAAGUUUUAAUGCCAAAAGAUGAGCCCGCAUUUGAUUAGCUAGUUGGUGAGGUAAAAGCUCACCAAGGCGAUAAUCAAUAGCUGAUUUGAGAGGAUGAUCAGCCACACUGGGACUGAGACACGGCCCAAACUCC
RNAcentral lists this ribosomal RNA (270 nucleotides) under uncultured bacterium. Its description in RNAcentral is "partial 16S ribosomal RNA". It matches the Rfam family "Bacterial small subunit ribosomal RNA", at positions 41 to 339 of the family's 1533-position model. The record is from RNAcentral.